AGCCCAGAGCCUGAAUCAGUGUGUGUGUUAGUGGAAGCGUCUGGAAAGGCGCGCGAUACAGGGUGACAGCCCCGUACACAAAAAUGCACAUACUGUGAGCUCGAUGAGUAGGGCGGGACACGUGGUAUCCUGUCUGAAUAUGGGGGGACCAUCCUCCAAGGCUAAAUACUCCUGACUGACCGAUAGUGAACCAGUACCGUGAGGGAAAGGCGAAAAGAACCCCGGCGAGGGGAGUGAAAAAGAACCUGAAACCGUGUACGUACAAGCAGUGGGAGCCUCUUUUAUGGGGUGACUGCGUACCUUUUGUAUAAUGGGUCAGCGACUUAUAUUCUGUAGCAAGGUUAACCGAAUAGGGGAGCCGAAGGGAAACCGAGUCUUAACUGGGCGUUAAGUUGCAGGGUAUAGACCCGAAACCCGGUGAUCUAGCCAUGGGCAGGUUGAAGGUUGGGUAACACUAACUGGAGGACCGAACCGACUAAUGUUGAAAAAUUAGCGGAUGACUUGUGGCUGGGGGUGAAAGGCCAAUCAAACCGGGAGAUAGCUGGUUCUCCCCGAAAGCUAUUUAGGUAGCGCCUCGUGAAUUCAUCUCCGGGGGUAGAGCACUGUUUCGGCAAGGGGGUCAUCCCGACUUACCAACCCGAUGCAAACUGCGAAUACCGGAGAAUGUUAUCACGGGAGACACACGGCGGGUGCUAACGUCCGUCGUGAAGAGGGAAACAACCCAGACCGCCAGCUAAGGUCCCAAAGUCAUGGUUAAGUGGGAAACGAUGUGGGAAGGCCCAGACAGCCAGGAUGUUGGCUUAGAAGCAGCCAUCAUUUAAAGAAAGCGUAAUAGCUCACUGGUCGAGUCGGCCUGCGCGGAAGAUGUAACGGGGCUAAACCAUGCACCGAAGCUGCGGCAGCGACACUAUGUGUUGUUGGGUAGGGGAGCGUUCUGUAAGCCUGCGAAGGUGUACUGUGAGGUAUGCUGGAGGUAUCAGAAGUGCGAAUGCUGACAUAAGUAACGAUAAAGCGGGUGAAAAGCCCGCUCGCCGGAAGACCAAGGGUUCCUGUCCAACGUUAAUCGGGGCAGGGUGAGUCGACCCCUAAGGCGAGGCCGAAAGGCGUAGUCGAUGGGAAACAGGUUAAUAUUCCUGUACUUGGUGUUACUGCGAAGGGGGGACGGAGAAGGCUAUGUUGGCCGGGCGACGGUUGUCCCGGUUUAAGCGUGUAGGCUGGUUUUCCAGGCAAAUCCGGAAAAUCAAGGCUGAGGCGUGAUGACGAGGCACUACGGUGCUGAAGCAACAAAUGCCCUGCUUCCAGGAAAAGCCUCUAAGCAUCAGGUAACAUCAAAUCGUACCCCAAACCGACACAGGUGGUCAGGUAGAGAAUACCAAGGCGCUUGAGAGAACUCGGGUGAAGGAACUAGGCAAAAUGGUGCCGUAACUUCGGGAGAAGGCACGCUGAUAUGUAGGUGAAGCGACUUGCUCGUGGAGCUGAAAUCAGUCGAAGAUACCAGCUGGCUGCAACUGUUUAUUAAAAACACAGCACUGUGCAAACACGAAAGUGGACGUAUACGGUGUGACGCCUGCCCGGUGCCGGAAGGUUAAUUGAUGGGGUUAGCGGUAACGCGAAGCUCUUGAUCGAAGCCCCGGUAAACGGCGGCCGUAACUAUAACGGUCCUAAGGUAGCGAAAUUCCUUGUCGGGUAAGUUCCGACCUGCACGAAUGGCGUAAUGAUGGCCAGGCUGUCUCCACCCGAGACUCAGUGAAAUUGAACUCGCUGUGAAGAUGCAGUGUACCCGCGGCAAGACGGAAAGACCCCGUGAACCUUUACUAUAGCUUGACACUGAACAUUGAGCCUUGAUGUGUAGGAUAGGUGGGAGGCUUUGAAGUGUGGACGCCAGUCUGCAUGGAGCCGGCCUUGAAAUACCACCCUUUAAUGUUUGAUGUUCUAACGUUGGCCCCUGAUCGGGGUUGCGGACAGUGUCUGGUGGGUAGUUUGACUGGGGCGGUCUCCUCCUAAAGAGUAACGGAGGAGCACGAAGGUUGGCUAAUCCUGGUCGGACAUCAGGAGGUUAGUGCAAUGGCAUAAGCCAGCUUGACUGCGAGCGUGACGGCGCGAGCAGGUGCGAAAGCAGGUCAUAGUGAUCCGGUGGUUCUGAAUGGAAGGGCCAUCGCUCAACGGAUAAAAGGUACUCCGGGGAUAACAGGCUGAUACCGCCCAAGAGUUCAUAUCGACGGCGGUGUUUGGCACCUCGAUGUCGGCUCAUCACAUCCUGGGGCUGAAGUAGGUCCCAAGGGUAUGGCUGUUCGCCAUUUAAAGUGGUACGCGAGCUGGGUUUAGAACGUCGUGAGACAGUUCGGUCCCUAUCUGCCGUGGGCGCUGGAGAACUGAGGGGGGCUGCUCCUAGUACGAGAGGACCGGAGUGGACGCAUCACUGGUGUUCGGGUUGUCAUGCCAAUGGCACUGCCCGGUAGCUAAAUGCGGAAGAGAUAAGUGCUGAAAGCAUCUAAGCACGAAACUUGCCCCGAGAUGAGUUCUCCCUGACUCCUUGAGAGUCCUGAAGGAACGUUGAAGACGACGACGUUGAUAGGCCGGGUGUGUAAGCGCAGCGAUGCGUUGAGCUAACCGGUACUAAUGAACCGUGAGGCUUAACCUU
RNAcentral lists this ribosomal RNA (2641 nucleotides) under Escherichia coli. RNAcentral's name for it is "partial 23S ribosomal RNA". It matches the Rfam family "Bacterial large subunit ribosomal RNA", at positions 296 to 2925 of the family's 2925-position model. The record is from RNAcentral. Lineage: Bacteria; Pseudomonadati; Pseudomonadota; Gammaproteobacteria; Enterobacterales; Enterobacteriaceae.